UUACUUGUAGUUUAGUGGUAAAAUACCCGCUCUAAUGGGAGACGUAGGUUCGAUUCCUACCGAGUAAAC
RNAcentral lists this transfer RNA (69 nucleotides) under Tupanvirus deep ocean. RNAcentral's name for it is "tRNA-Arg". It matches the Rfam family "tRNA". Rfam says of the family: Transfer RNA (tRNA) molecules are approximately 80 nucleotides in length. Their secondary structure includes four short double-helical elements and three loops (D, anti-codon, and T loops). Further hydrogen bonds mediate the characteristic L-shaped molecular structure. tRNAs have two regions of fundamental functional importance: the anti-codon, which is responsible for specific mRNA codon recognition, and the 3' end, to which the tRNAs corresponding amino acid is attached (by aminoacyl-tRNA synthetases). tRNAs cope with the degeneracy of the genetic code in two manners: having more than one tRNA (with a specific anti-codon) for a particular amino acid; and 'wobble' base-pairing, i.e. permitting non-standard base-pairing at the 3rd anti-codon position. The record is from RNAcentral. Lineage: Varidnaviria; Bamfordvirae; Nucleocytoviricota; Megaviricetes; Imitervirales; Mimiviridae. RNAcentral also lists the same sequence under 1 other name.